Molecule: RNase P RNA, 343 nt
Filed under: Flavobacteriales bacterium
Lineage: Bacteria; Pseudomonadati; Bacteroidota; Flavobacteriia; Flavobacteriales
Description: RNase P RNA component class A
Rfam family: Bacterial RNase P class A
About the family: Ribonuclease P (RNase P) is a ubiquitous endoribonuclease, found in archaea, bacteria and eukarya as well as chloroplasts and mitochondria. Its best characterised activity is the generation of mature 5'-ends of tRNAs by cleaving the 5'-leader elements of precursor-tRNAs.
Source: RNAcentral
UCGUUGUGUGACUUCAUCGCUCCGGAACGCCGGAGAGGAAAGUCCGGACAACAUAGGGCACCGUACUUCUCAAAAGGAAGGCAUGCCUCUGGCAUGACAGAAAGUGCUAAAGAAAUUUAUACCGCCGAUGGCUCUUAGAGCACAGGUAAGGGUGAAAAGGUGAAGUAAGAGCUCACCAGCAGGAAAGUGAUUUUCUGGCUUAGGUAAACCUUGCGGGUUGCAAGAUCAUGUACACUAGCAUUUGAGGGCUGCCCGCUCGAGCUAGGGGGUAGAUUGCGCAGAUAGAUGAUGAAGCAUCUGAUUUUCGGAUGAACAGAAUCCGGCUUAUGAACGUGACGAAGUA